GCCGCAAUUUGUUGGACCUAAUGGGGCAGUUUCCCUUGCAACGUGUGUUGGUGAAUAGGAUCUGGUGAUCCAAGUAUAGCAGGGGCACUUGCAAGUGCCUCAAAAAACAGGGCAUAAUCGAUCAAUUGAGUUUAAAAGGCUGAAAACGACAUCGCUGAUAUCUAAUCUAAUAGGGCACUUCUCCCCUAGGUGCCUCAAUACUGUUCUUUGGAUUCAAAUUUUGGCCAAGUCUCAUUUUGGCGCUAUAUUCUCUCGGGAAUUGGGGAACUGGCGCUUUUCAUUUUUUUUUCAAACCUUAGAAAGUGCUACACAAUUCGGUACACAAUCCACUCUUCCCUCUCUCUCCUCCGAGUUCUCUCUUCCCUCUCUCUCCUCAGAUAUCGAAUUGCAACGGCAGAUUGGAAGGGUUUCUGUGCAUUUUUUACUCUUCCCCUCGGUGUCCGUUCGCCGUGUGUGAGAGAUGCAACUAUGCAGUGUAUAUUUAUAUUUUGUGUGUUCCUUCAAUUGUACUUUGGAGAAGACUAAACCCCGUCGAGAGAAACCAACUUGUUACAGAGAAGAAGAUUGGUAUUGUAUAAUCUAGACUGCCAUCUGCUUAUGCCUGAAAGGGUACAAUAGAUUAUCUUGCAAAUCAAAGUGAAAAAAUACCUUGUCUUUGAUUGUUUUUCAGAAUAAAUGCGCUAACCAUAUUCAGCAACAAUUGGUAUCUGAUCCUCUUCAACCCUCACCACCAAGAGCUAAUGUCAUGAUGGUUUGUUUCCCGGUGCAGAAGGCCAAGGAUUUGAUACUUUUCUACAGUUAUAGUUAGUAAUUAUUCAAAUUGAGUUUGAGAACUCUUAAGCCAUUAUUGUAAUGUUCAAUAUUCACUAAGUUGAAUAGUAUGUUUAAUUCUGUUUCAAAAUUACUUCUUCCUUCAUUUGAUUUUUGUAGGUAGUGGAAUAACUGAUUAAGUUUUUUGGCUUUGUAUAU
Molecule: long non-coding RNA, 969 nt
Organism: Rhododendron vialii
Lineage: Eukaryota; Viridiplantae; Streptophyta; Magnoliopsida; Ericales; Ericaceae
Exons: 3
Source: RefSeq, a predicted model, not a curated record